UUCCUUGGUAAACUAUUGCGCCAACCAGGACUUUUAAUCCAACAUCGAGGUCACAAAAUUUUUUAAUGAUAAGAACUCUUAAAAAAAAUUAUGCUGUUAUCCCUACAGUAACUUAUUCCUCCUUAAAAAUUUCUCGAUUCUACAAGACUGGUAAGCCACAAUAUCAAAGAAAAAUUAAUUUCCCAACUGCCCCAGUUAAACAAUUUAGUUUCUGAUUUGAAGACAGGAACUAAUUGUAAAGCUUGAUAGGGUCUUCUCGUCCCCAAAAAAAAUUUUAGCUUUUUUACUAAAUUAUAAAAUUCAAAAUAUUUAAAUAAGACAAAAACAUUUAGUGAGACCCUUCAUUCCAGCCCUAAAUUAAAAGACUA
RNAcentral lists this ribosomal RNA (368 nucleotides) under Hadrurus pinteri. Its description in RNAcentral is "partial 16S ribosomal RNA". Lineage: Eukaryota; Metazoa; Arthropoda; Arachnida; Scorpiones; Caraboctonidae. The record is from RNAcentral.